GGCAAGAUGGCCGAGCGGUCUAAGGCGUGUGACUCAAGCGUGACAGCUUCUCCUGUUCACAGGAUUCUCAUCUUCGUCAGAAGGCGUGGGUUCAAAUCCCACUCUUGUCA
Molecule: transfer RNA, 110 nt
Organism: Schizopora paradoxa
Lineage: Eukaryota; Fungi; Basidiomycota; Agaricomycetes; Hymenochaetales; Schizoporaceae
Rfam family: tRNA
About the family: Transfer RNA (tRNA) molecules are approximately 80 nucleotides in length. Their secondary structure includes four short double-helical elements and three loops (D, anti-codon, and T loops).
Source: Rfam